Molecule: transfer RNA, 74 nt
Filed under: Bacilli bacterium
Lineage: Bacteria; Bacillati; Bacillota; Bacilli
Description: tRNA-Asp
Rfam family: tRNA
About the family: Transfer RNA (tRNA) molecules are approximately 80 nucleotides in length. Their secondary structure includes four short double-helical elements and three loops (D, anti-codon, and T loops). Further hydrogen bonds mediate the characteristic L-shaped molecular structure. tRNAs have two regions of fundamental functional importance: the anti-codon, which is responsible for specific mRNA codon recognition, and the 3' end, to which the tRNAs corresponding amino acid is attached (by aminoacyl-tRNA synthetases). tRNAs cope with the degeneracy of the genetic code in two manners: having more than one tRNA (with a specific anti-codon) for a particular amino acid; and 'wobble' base-pairing, i.e. permitting non-standard base-pairing at the 3rd anti-codon position.
Source: RNAcentral
GGUCUGUUAGUUCAGUUGGUUAGAAUAUCGCCCUGUCACGGCGGAGGUCAUGGAUUCGAGUUCCAUACAGACCG